RNAcentral lists this long non-coding RNA (1879 nucleotides) under Homo sapiens (human). RNAcentral describes it as "non-protein coding lnc-KCNS3-8:1". Lineage: Eukaryota; Metazoa; Chordata; Mammalia; Primates; Hominidae. The record is from RNAcentral.
GAAAAGGAUAAGAACCUUGCCAUCAUCAGAAUAAACUCAACAGAGACAAAACCAUAAGACUCAGUCUAUUUUGCAGGCAUUGAAGCAUGCUGUGACACUGUCAUGCCAGACCCCUAAUAACUUCAGUAGGGAUGGCACUGGGUUCAAGAGGCUAGAGAAGAGACCUACAGCCAGCAAAAGAGGCCUAUGGUUUUAUUUGGGUGAACUUACAUACAGGGAUGGUCCAGUGGUGGCAGGCUGGACAGGAGAACCACAACUGCUGGCAAAAAAAAAAAAAAAAUGCAGUUUAUAUAACAUCCUCACUUAGCACCCUCUCCUCAGCAACCUCCACAUGAGCACCCUCAUUUCUUAAAUAAUUGUUGUCAGGUCCGUCUGCUAUAUGGGGUUAUUCUCAGGGUAGACUUAAGUUAUUGCUGUCAGGUGUGUCGACCAUACAGGCACCAAUUGCAUGGGCUCAUUUGAGGGAUAAAAGCUCAGUAUGUCUUGAAUGAGGAAAAAGUGUAGAAGCCCUUGUUGGAUGUAUUGAGGAAUCCCAUUGAUAGGCUCCAAAAGGGUUCCAUUAACUCAGCACUGACCAGUCCUAUGAGAUUGUGAGUGUUCAGUCGGCUUGGUGAGGGAUGGCAGUGGGCAUCUUCUGCCUGUGGUGGGCAUGCUUGUGGGGGUUGAGAGACCUGCCAUCCAUUAGACUCUUGUGUACUGAAGAGCUACCUCAGUUUCCUUUUGGCCCAGGACUAGCAGGCAAGACAAUUCUAGAUUUCUCUCAUAAUGGGUCUGAGCCAGUGGAUAGUUCCCUUGCCUUGGACUGAGCAGGAUGAAGUCUGCAGGGAUGGGGUGGGAGCAGCGGCUGUAGCUCUGAUGCUUCAGACACAUGUACAUUCUUAUGAAAACAAAUGAUCUUUAGCCAGGAACUGAACACAGAUAAACUAAGGCACAAAGUGUGCACAAUUAAAAAGACCACAACUUUUGUGAAAAUGCUGACUUUAAUUAAAAUAAGCAAAUAAAGGAACAAACAACCCUUACAUAUUUCCUUCAAUUUCUCAGUGUUCUGGAGAUUCAGAGCAAGUGAUUAUGAGGCUAAAAAAUUGUAUCAGGUAGUUAUCAAAUAAUUCCCAUCAAGAAUAUGAGCUAGCAUCAUGAGAUUCUUUCCCAACAUCUUUAAUGAGAGUAGAAUGAGGUCUUUGUAACAACAAACAGCUUUUGAUAUUUCUGUGGGGGGCUAUUGCUCUAACUGCUCACAAAUCAAGGACGAGAAAUCAAGUUUAAGUAAGAAGAACGUGUGAUGAAUGUUUGGGGAAUUGAAGCAUGCAACACAAAUGAGCCUAAGGAUACAGGUGUGAGAGGCUGUUGCAACCUAGGUCAUAGUUCAGAAGGUGAUCUAUCCCAGAGCCCCUGCCAGUCAGAUAAAGAAUCCAGGCAAGCACAAGGCAGGAUAUUAAUACUCCCAGAUAAAUGAGCUGAGAACUGUGGUCCUGGGGGGCCUGAGACACUUAACAAAGUAGGGGUUCAUGACUAAGAAAAAUACAAGGCCAGAUCCCAGUUCUAGUGACAAGGUCAGAGAGAGUGGAGAUGUCAGCAGAGUGACCUGGAGAGUACUAAGCCUCAGACCUCACUGUGUCAAAAAGUGAUUAGAAUCUAAUGAGAGUGCCUGGGUAUCAAACCCAGUCAAUGGAUACUAACAAGGGUUCAUGAUAGUCUGAGCUCCACUGAACUUCACUCUUCCCAAAGAUUGAAGUGGUGGAAAGCUCCUGAUAACUUUGCCAAGAGCAGAAAUGGUGUGAGUCCUGGGUACCCUUAGGCUUCCUGGAAGCUCAGAGGAUUGAGCCUUAAGAAUAUGAAGAGGAGAAUGGUGUGAACCCGGGAAGCGGAGCUUGCAGUGAGC